UCCACGAUCUUCAAAUCCCUAAUAUCUAAAGGAAACAAAAUCUGACAUCUUGGAAAUCGAAUUCCUUCAAACCCUUCCUGUUUAUCUUCCUCCAAUUGAACUCUGAGAAACGGUUCAUGUUCAUCUUCCUCCAAUCCAAUUCCUUGAACCCAACUGUUAACCCUAAUCUCCAAGAACCCAGAAAUCACUGUGAGCCCUAACCCAUAACCCAUAAAUCCUCUUCUCUCCACCAUAUACCAGCAAUUCAAUUUUUCGAAAGUCGUACUUGUUCAUCGUCGUGCCGUCACAACUCAAAUCGUGGUUAUUAAGGAUUCCCGAGUCGUCGUUUGGUGGCUCGUGGCAAGUUGCACAACACCGAAGGUGAUAUGGUGCAUGGCAUUAAAUUACCUAUUGGAUAUGUUAAAGUUGCUAUGGAUGUUUCUGUUAUAUCAGACGCUCCAUUGCCCAUAUCUAUCGAAUAUGGAGAAGUCUCGAUAGUUGGUCAAGCAAUAGGUACAAUUGUGCCAUGGCCAUUCAAACUUGUUGAACUUAUUGUUGAACGUCAAAAGAUCCCAAAAAAAAUCCAAAAUAAGGAUAAGGUACAAACCUCUGAAUCAGUUGUGUCGCCAACCAAAAACCGGAAAAUUUUGAAAAAUCAAGUGGCGUACCCUAAAAAUG
Trifolium pratense (red clover) is the source of this 657-nucleotide long non-coding RNA. RefSeq lists it as uncharacterized. NCBI's taxonomy places the organism in Eukaryota, Viridiplantae, Streptophyta, Magnoliopsida, Fabales, Fabaceae. The record is from RefSeq and is a predicted model, not a curated record. The transcript has 3 exons.